CCCUUAGAUGUUCUGGGCCGCACGCGCGCUACACUGACGAAGUCAGCGAGCAUCUCCUACGCCGAAAGGUGCGGGGAAUCUUGUGAAACUUUGUCGUGCUGGGGAUUGAUUUUUGAAAUUCUUGAUCAUAAACGAGGAAUUCCUAGUAAGCGCAAGUCAGCAGCUUGCGUUGAUUACGUCCCUGCCCUUUGUACACACCGCCCGUCGCUACUACCGAUUGAAUGGUUUAGUGAGAUGUUUGGACCGGAACUCUCUUGCUCAGCAAUGGGCGAGAGAGGGUCUGGGAAGUCCCUCUAACUGUAUCAUUUAGAGGAAGUAAAAGUCGUAACA
RNAcentral lists this ribosomal RNA (330 nucleotides) under uncultured eukaryote. Its description in RNAcentral is "partial 18S ribosomal RNA". It matches the Rfam family "Eukaryotic small subunit ribosomal RNA", at positions 1470 to 1796 of the family's 1831-position model. The record is from RNAcentral.